Molecule: transfer RNA, 72 nt
Organism: Chrysochromulina sp.
Lineage: Eukaryota; Haptophyta; Prymnesiales; Chrysochromulinaceae
Rfam family: tRNA
About the family: Transfer RNA (tRNA) molecules are approximately 80 nucleotides in length. Their secondary structure includes four short double-helical elements and three loops (D, anti-codon, and T loops). Further hydrogen bonds mediate the characteristic L-shaped molecular structure. tRNAs have two regions of fundamental functional importance: the anti-codon, which is responsible for specific mRNA codon recognition, and the 3' end, to which the tRNAs corresponding amino acid is attached (by aminoacyl-tRNA synthetases). tRNAs cope with the degeneracy of the genetic code in two manners: having more than one tRNA (with a specific anti-codon) for a particular amino acid; and 'wobble' base-pairing, i.e. permitting non-standard base-pairing at the 3rd anti-codon position.
Source: Rfam
GUAAAAAUAGUUUAAUGGUUAGAAUUUCCGUUUGUGGUACAGAAGAUAAAGGUUCAAUUCCUUUUUUUUACC